RNAcentral lists this ribosomal RNA (512 nucleotides) under Aspergillus niger. RNAcentral's name for it is "eukaryotic LSU rRNA". The stretch from base 150 to 303 matches the Rfam family "5.8S ribosomal RNA". The record is from RNAcentral. Lineage: Eukaryota; Fungi; Ascomycota; Eurotiomycetes; Eurotiales; Aspergillaceae.
GUCUAUUGUACCCUGUUGCUUCGGCGGGCCCGCCGCUUGUCGGCCGCCGGGGGGGCGCCUCUGCCCCCCGGGCCCGUGCCCGCCGGAGACCCCAACACGAACACUGUCUGAAAGCGUGCAGUCUGAGUUGAUUGAAUGCAAUCAGUUAAAACUUUCAACAAUGGAUCUCUUGGUUCCGGCAUCGAUGAAGAACGCAGCGAAAUGCGAUAACUAAUGUGAAUUGCAGAAUUCAGUGAAUCAUCGAGUCUUUGAACGCACAUUGCGCCCCCUGGUAUUCCGGGGGGCAUGCCUGUCCGAGCGUCAUUGCUGCCCUCAAGCCCGGCUUGUGUGUUGGGUCGCCGUCCCCCUCUCCGGGGGGACGGGCCCGAAAGGCAGCGGCGGCACCGCGUCCGAUCCUCGAGCGUAUGGGGCUUUGUCACAUGCUCUGUAGGAUUGGCCGGCGCCUGCCGACGUUUUCCAACCAUUCUUUCCAGGUUGACCUCGGAUCAGGUAGGGAUACCCGCUGAACUUAA